Molecule: long non-coding RNA, 1300 nt
Filed under: Monodelphis domestica (gray short-tailed opossum)
Lineage: Eukaryota; Metazoa; Chordata; Mammalia; Didelphimorphia; Didelphidae
Description: lncRNA (ENSMODG00000044745.1)
Source: RNAcentral
CUAGCCAUCAGCUUAUGCAAACUUCUUAUUUUGGUAAUGAGGAAACUGAGGCAGGUAUCCUUUUAAUUGCAUUUCAGGUUGUCUAGUGAAUUAUUUUAUCAUUUUUGGUUUUGCUACCCCAUAAUUUGACACAUUUUUCAUGAUUAUGGUAGUGGUAGGAUCCCCAUGAAUGGUGACAUGGGCAACAGUAUAGAUGUGGCCUAUCAUUAGGUAUAGAAGUACAUAGUAGUUUAGUAUUCCCUAAGCCAUUUGUCUCCUGACAAUCUGACACUGAAAAACUCAACCUUGUUUUCUUCUGACCAUGGCAACUCUUAAUGCCAAUUCCAAAAGAGGGCUUUAGAAGAUAAGAAAUACUUGGCCCUAUAUUCUUUCUCUUUCUCUAGUAAAGCAGGAACGAUGGAGAAAGAAUGUGUGAGAUUGGUAUUAGAUCUUGUAAGAAACUUUAGAGAUUUUGGUGAAGCUAGUAAUUAGAGCAGAGUUAAUUUAGUUCAUUGAAUUCAUUUUAAAUAUAUCUUCUGGGGAAGAAUCCCCAAAAGACAACAGUGAUUUUUAAAGCUGCAUCUACAAGGACUCAAAUAAAUCCCUGGAUACACUUUAAUUGGCAUAGUAAUAUAUUAGGAAGCUACUUAUCUAUUUUGUGUAACUACAUCAUAUUUAAAGACGUCUUAUACUUUUGUUUGUCCUCAUCUGAAAAGUAGGGAUAUUGAAAAUUCUGAUGAUUGUGGAGGAAGAAAUACUAAGAUUGCCAACUUCUCUAAUCUGGAGCAGGAAGAAACAGAGACAGAAUUACUCCAAAAGGAAAAAAAAAGGGCGAAAAAGAUUAAUGGGUACAUGAUUUACAUUGCUUGUAUUGGGGACAAGGAGGAGGCCCUAUCUUCAGGACACAUGGAACAUGAACACCAGUUCAGGCCUUACUUCUGACAUUCCUCAGGUAAAACUUGGGUUAUAAUAUGGCUACUGAAAAAAUUAGUGAUAAUCAUGGAUGAAGGCUCAUGCUUUUAAGGAGAAAACUAGUAUGGCCAAGAGCUAAUGGGACCACUGGGUAAAAUGUAGCAAGAAAUGAGAAUGGAAAGAAAAAAUGUGAAUCAAGCAAGCUUAAUUAAAUAACUCACAGUGUGAAUUGAUCAGAGAAGAUAGACAUGGGGCAGUCUUCUGGGUACUGAAUAGAUUAGGCACCUGACAGGUGAAGCAGGGUGAAGUUUUGUAGGAUUCUUAUAUAGUGUCAAAUGGGAUAUGUCACUGAGAUCAGGGAGCUUAGACCUUAGACCUGAAGUGUAAAUCAAGGUACAGGAAUGGUGCU